This 422-nucleotide ribosomal RNA is filed under the name uncultured bacterium. RNAcentral describes it as "bacterial SSU rRNA". It matches the Rfam family "Bacterial small subunit ribosomal RNA", at positions 355 to 774 of the family's 1533-position model. The record is from RNAcentral.
UAAGGAAUAUUGGUCAAUGGAGGAAACUCUGAACCAGCCAUGCCGCGUGGAGGAUGAAGGUCCUCUGGAUUGUAAACUUCUUUUAUAUGGGACGAAAAAGGGACUUUCUAGUUCAACUGACGGUACCAAAUGAAUAAGCACCGGCUAACUCCGUGCCAGCAGCCGCGGUAAUACGGAGGGUGCAAGCGUUAUCCGGAUUCACUGGGUUUAAAGGGAGCGUAGGUGGGUUGGUAAGUCAGAGGUGAAAUCUCCGAGCUUAACUCGGAAACUGCCUUUGAUACUAUCAGUCUUGAAUAUUGUGGAGGUUAGCGGAAUAUGUCAUGUAGCGGUGAAAUGCUUAGAUAUGACAUAGAACACCAAUUGCGAAGGCAGCUGGCUACGCAUAUAUUGACACUGAGGCACGAAAGCGUGGGGAUCAAACA